Long non-coding RNA from Lutra lutra (Eurasian river otter), 299 nucleotides. RefSeq lists it as uncharacterized. NCBI's taxonomy places the organism in Eukaryota, Metazoa, Chordata, Mammalia, Carnivora, Mustelidae. The record is from RefSeq and is a predicted model, not a curated record. The transcript has 3 exons.
AGGAGGAGGCUCUCCCGGCCCUCUUGUUGCUCCUCAAAGGGGCACGGAGACAUGAGAACUGAAUACAUCCGCAUGGGUGCUGCGCACCUGGGCUGCAGGUCUUCCCGGUGGCGUCCUGCUCUGGGAGGUGGCUGGGGAGCAGCACUGGGGAGAGGAGCUGCCUGAGGAAGAGGCUGAUUUCCAAUGAGGACAACUCCAGGAAUUUACAGAUGUGUGCUGGAGUUCAAAUAAGAUAAGAUUUAAAAUCCCUAAAGCGAAGCACAGCAUCAAGAACCAGGUGUUCAGCCCCAGGACUGCCU